CGAGGAGCUUGCUCCUCUGACGUUAGCGGCGGACGGGUGAGUAACACGUGGAUAACCUACCUAUAAGACUGGGAUAACUUCGGGAAACCGGAGCUAAUACCGGAUAAUAUAUUGAACCGCAUGGUUCAAUAGUGAAAGACGGUUUUGCUGUCACUUAUAGAUGGAUCCGCGCCGCAUUAGCUAGUUGGUAAGGUAACGGCUUACCAAGGCAACGAUGCGUAGCCGACCUGAGAGGGUGAUCGGCCACACUGGAACUGAGACACGGUCCAGACUCCUACGGGAGGCAGCAGUAGGGAAUCUUCCGCAAUGGGCGAAAGCCUGACGGAGCAACGCCGCGUGAGUGAUGAAGGUCUUCGGAUCGUAAAACUCUGUUAUUAGGGAAGAACAAAUGUGUAAGUAACUAUGCACGUCUUGACGGUACCUAAUCAGAAAGCCACGGCUAACUACGUGCCAGCAGCCGCGGUAAUACGUAGGUGGCAAGCGUUAUCCGGAAUUAUUGCGCGUAAAGCGCGCGUAGGCG
Molecule: ribosomal RNA, 520 nt
Filed under: Staphylococcus epidermidis
Lineage: Bacteria; Bacillati; Bacillota; Bacilli; Caryophanales; Staphylococcaceae
Description: bacterial SSU rRNA
Rfam family: Bacterial small subunit ribosomal RNA
Source: RNAcentral